AUUAAUAAAUUUGAAAUAGAUGAAGACCAAAGGCAAAUAAAUUUUUUUAUAUCUGAAAUGAAUGAGAGGCUAAAGCUAGCUUUUGAUGUGAAUCUGACGAAAAAUAUUACAGAAUGGCUAAAUGAGCUAUCUUCAUCAAUAAAUGUGUCACUGGUGUUAAUUUUGCGGACUAAUUUUUUAAAGAUAAACAAUUUACUAAACAUUGAUGAUAAGAAAAGGAAAGAUUAUUUUAUUAAUAUCGAAAAUUUACCGUUUCAAAUGAUUUCAGUUGCUAGACAGCUUGAAUUCACAAAUAAGUGUGAGUAUUAUAUAAAGGAGAAAAAAUUGAAUGAUUUCUUAUCAUCACUACAUUCUUUUCACAAAGAUAUCGCCG
Molecule: long non-coding RNA, 373 nt
Organism: Gordionus sp. m RMFG-2023
Lineage: Eukaryota; Metazoa; Nematomorpha; Gordioida; Chordodea; Parachordodidae
Exons: 3
Source: RefSeq, a predicted model, not a curated record